AUGAGAUUGUGGGGUCUUCUCCUUUGCCUGGUGACAGCUCCACAAGGUGUCCUGUCUGAGGUGCAGCUGCAGGAGUCGGGCUCAGGACUGGUGAAGCCCUCGCAGACCCUCUCCCUCACCUGCACCGUCUCUGGUGACUCCAUCACAACCAGUGAUUAUGGUUGGAGCUGGAUCCACCAGCUCUCAGAGAAGGGGCUUGAGUGGAUGGGACGCAUCAGUUAUAGUGGUGGUACAGCUUAUAGCUCAUCCCUCAAGAGCCGCAUCUCCAUCACCAGAGACACGUCCACUAACCAGUUCUCCCUGCAGCUGAGCUCUGUGACCGACGAGGACACUGGCGUGUAUUAA
Non-coding RNA from Cynocephalus volans (Philippine flying lemur), 345 nucleotides. Lineage: Eukaryota; Metazoa; Chordata; Mammalia; Dermoptera; Cynocephalidae. The record is from the annotation of a RefSeq genome assembly.